AGCGAGUAGUCGUGCUGCACUUCGCUCCGCAGAUUAAAUCUCGUGUCUUGUGACGGCCGGCCGCCCAACAACCUGCCCGCUUGACCCUAUCCCCUCCUCUCUUCUCCAGACCAUUUCCGGAGACCUUCUCCCUUACCUCACCUCGCUCAUCAACUCAUCCUUGACCGCUUGCUACGUCCCUUCCGUCUUCAAGAGAGCGAGAGUUGCACCCCUUCUGAAAAAACCUACACUCGAUCCCUCCGAUGUCAACAACUACAGACCAACUCAUCCUGCUGCUGAUGACGACGAUGACCUUGACACCAGCGUCAGUAGUACAGAGCCUGUAGACCCAUUGGAUGAAUGCUUUCAGACUGGAAUAAGCUCAAGCUCAACAUCAUCUGACUUUGAAACAAGCCAGGACAGCCAAAGGAGACUUGCAGUACAAAUCAAAGCAUUGGGAAGUGAAGAAAGUGUACGAGAGGCUUGUCCACCUGGCUGUGGAGUGCAGAAAGGACCAGACGGUUGUCUACAAGGAGCCUGAGUCACAGCUCCCCAAACCCAACAUCCCUUCCAACAUCGCCACAGCACCAAAGCCUGCGAAAACAGCUUCCAUUACGCAGCACAAGAAGAGGUUCACCAGUUGAAGAACAUUCUGGAACCUGCUUGGAACAUUCAACCAACACAACACCUUAUUCAGUUAAACUCUUGUUGUAGUAUAAUAUUGUAUGUUCAUUACUGCAUUGUGCUAUAUAUAUAUAGCUGUUGUACAUAUGUAUAUAAUGGUGUCGUAUGUGAUAUUUUGUACAAGUGUACUGACAAGUGACUAAAUGGAAUUCCAGCUGUAUCAGAAACCAAUAAAGUGUUGGAUCAAUUCAUUGUGAUCCCUUACGAAAAAAGAUUGCAGUCAGAAUGCAGUAUAACUGUGGUACACUGCAGUAUAACUGUAGUUAGA
RNAcentral lists this long non-coding RNA (931 nucleotides) under Salmo salar (Atlantic salmon). Its description in RNAcentral is "lncRNA (ENSSSAG00000090018.1)". The record is from RNAcentral. Lineage: Eukaryota; Metazoa; Chordata; Actinopteri; Salmoniformes; Salmonidae.